Molecule: non-coding RNA, 508 nt
Organism: Danio rerio (zebrafish)
Lineage: Eukaryota; Metazoa; Chordata; Actinopteri; Cypriniformes; Danionidae
Source: Ensembl
GUCACCUGGAGGUCAGGAGGAGGCACGUAUAUGAUCUGGUCGAGUCGUCCAGGUCUGAGCAGAGCGCUGUCCAGAGCCUCGGGUCUGUUAGUGGCGGCCACAAUCAAAACAUCCUUAUUGCACACUUCCUGCAGCUCCAUCUGAAAUGUGCUCCGUCUCUCCAGCGUUCGCACGCCCACCCCAUCCAGCUCCGUCAGCAGAACCGACAGAACCUGCGACUGCACGCUGUGGGAAGAAGAAGAGCCGUCCUCUCGAGAGCCCACCAUACUGUCCACCUCAUCCAGGAACACGAUAGAUGGAGCACACGCUCGCGCCUGAGCGAACAGCUGACCGAAGCGUACCUGACAGAUCUACUAGAUGUCCCUCGUGCACGUAUAUACCGUCCAGCAGCUCCUGGAGACUCCGCUCUGAAACCCUCUUCUUGUGCUCCAGACGCUGCACGAACACCUUCAGCUUCACACAGGUCUGGUGACACACACUGGCUGCUGAUUUGCAGAUAUCCAUCUGC